AUUGAACGCUGGCGGCAUGCUUUACACAUGCAAGUCGAACGGCAGCGCGGGCUUCGGCCUGGCGGCGAGUGGCGAACGGGUGAGUAAUACAUCGGAACGUGCCCAGUAGUGGGGGAUAGCUCGGCGAAAGCCGGAUUAAUACCGCAUACGACCUGAGGGUGAAAGCGGGGGAUCUUCGGACCUCGCGCUAUUGGAGCGGCCGAUGGCAGAUUAGCUAGUUGGUGGGGUAAAGGCCUACCAAGGCGACGAUCUGUAGCUGGUCUGAGAGGACGACCAGCCACACUGGGACUGAGACACGGCCCAGACUCCUACGGGAGGCAGCAGUGGGGAAUUUUGGACAUUGGGCGAAAGCCUGAUCCAGCAAUGCCGCGUGUGUGAUGAAGGCCUUCGGGUUGUAAAGCACUUUUGGCGGGAACGAAAAGGACUGUGCCAAUACCACGGUUCGAUGACGGUACCCGCAGAAUAAGCACCGGCUAACUACGUG
This 484-nucleotide ribosomal RNA is filed under the name uncultured bacterium. RNAcentral describes it as "partial 16S ribosomal RNA". It matches the Rfam family "Bacterial small subunit ribosomal RNA", at positions 29 to 507 of the family's 1533-position model. The record is from RNAcentral.